Molecule: long non-coding RNA, 1071 nt
Filed under: Homo sapiens (human)
Lineage: Eukaryota; Metazoa; Chordata; Mammalia; Primates; Hominidae
Description: HSALNT0109699
Source: RNAcentral
CACGGACGCGCCCGGACGCUACUGGUUCGCCUUUGCGCAUGUGCAAUUGCCCUCGUACCGAACUCCGCAGGACGAAGCGUGUAUUUUUUUCCCAUCCAGACAACCUAGAGAAACCCAAAAAAGAGGGAAGCCAAGCGCCUUUCCAUGCGUAGAUUGCCCGCCACUUCCGUUAAGGCAUCUAUUUUACUGAUGAAAAGAGGCCUUCUGAGCGUUACCACAGCUCAAGCUUGGCGUCCCAGCCGGAUCUAGGUUUGAUUUGCAAUUAGGGAAAGUUGUUCAAGGGAACAAGUCUUAGGAGAAUUCUAAGGACAUGAGAUUGGAGUACCAGAAAUGGGGAAUUUUUCUUUUGGCCUUUCUCCAUUGUGGAAUUUUAAUGCUGAAAGAGGUUGGUGACACCUUCAGGUGAAGGCUUUCAACAUUCACUGUAUUCAUAAGGGCUUUUUCCAGUGUGGCAGAUCUGCUUUUGAGAUUCAGCUCUAUCAUCACCUAACUCUCUGACCCAAAGUAAGUUAAUUGUAAAAUGGAGAAGUAAAAGUAUCUAUUUGAGAGUGUGUCAUGGGGAUUACAUUAGAAAAAUGUGGAUAAAGCACUUAGCUUGGCCCUUGGUACAUGCUCCAUAAAAUAGCAAAUUAAGAAUCAACACAAAAUGGUUGAGAUGACCCACUUGCAAAUGUUAUCCUUCCUGAGAGAUCAUUUGUAACAGGUAGUAGGAGGCCUUAGAAAGUAACCUGCAGGCUGGGCACAGUGGCUCACACCUGUAAUCCCAGCACUUUCAGAGGCUGAAGCGGGCGAAUCACUUGAGAUCAGGAGUUCCAGACCAGGCUGGCCAACAUGGCGAAACCACGUCUCUACUAAAAAAAAAAAAUACAAAAAUUAGCUGGGCAUGGUGGCACAUGCAUGUAGCCCCAGCUACUCAGGAGGCUGAGGCAUGAAAAUCGCUUGAACCUGGGAGGCGGAGAUUGAAGUUAGCCGAGAUCAUGCCACUGUACUUCAGCAUGGGAGACAGAGCAAGACUCGGUCUCAAAACAGGAAAGAAAGGAAAGAAAAGAAAGAAAGAAAGAAAGAAAGAAA